This 30-nucleotide non-coding RNA is filed under the name Homo sapiens (human). The record is from RNAcentral. Lineage: Eukaryota; Metazoa; Chordata; Mammalia; Primates; Hominidae.
AGAGACAGAAGGUAGAUUCAUGGUUGCCGG